RNAcentral lists this ribosomal RNA (1416 nucleotides) under Lactiplantibacillus plantarum. RNAcentral's name for it is "bacterial SSU rRNA". It matches the Rfam family "Bacterial small subunit ribosomal RNA". The record is from RNAcentral. Lineage: Bacteria; Bacillati; Bacillota; Bacilli; Lactobacillales; Lactobacillaceae.
ACGAACUCUGGUAUUGAUUGGUGCUUGCAUCAUGAUUUACAUUUGAGUGAGUGGCGAACUGGUGAGUAACACGUGGGAAACCUGCCCAGAAGCGGGGGAUAACACCUGGAAACAGAUGCUAAUACCGCAUAACAACUUGGACCGCAUGGUCCGAGCUUGAAAGAUGGCUUCGGCUAUCACUUUUGGAUGGUCCCGCGGCGUAUUAGCUAGAUGGUGGGGUAACGGCUCACCAUGGCAAUGAUACGUAGCCGACCUGAGAGGGUAAUCGGCCACAUUGGGACUGAGACACGGCCCAAACUCCUACGGGAGGCAGCAGUAGGGAAUCUUCCACAAUGGACGAAAGUCUGAUGGAGCAACGCCGCGUGAGUGAAGAAGGGUUUCGGCUCGUAAAACUCUGUUGUUAAAGAAGAACAUAUCUGAGAGUAACUGUUCAGGUAUUGACGGUAUUUAACCAGAAAGCCACGGCUAACUACGUGCCAGCAGCCGCGGUAAUACGUAGGUGGCAAGCGUUGUCCGGAUUUAUUGGGCGUAAAGCGAGCGCAGGCGGUUUUUUAAGUCUGAUGUGAAAGCCUUCGGCUCAACCGAAGAAGUGCAUCGGAAACUGGGAAACUUGAGUGCAGAAGAGGACAGUGGAACUCCAUGUGUAGCGGUGAAAUGCGUAGAUAUAUGGAAGAACACCAGUGGCGAAGGCGGCUGUCUGGUCUGUAACUGACGCUGAGGCUCGAAAGUAUGGGUAGCAAACAGGAUUAGAUACCCUGGUAGUCCAUACCGUAAACGAUGAAUGCUAAGUGUUGGAGGGUUUCCGCCCUUCAGUGCUGCAGCUAACGCAUUAAGCAUUCCGCCUGGGGAGUACGGCCGCAAGGCUGAAACUCAAAGGAAUUGACGGGGGCCCGCACAAGCGGUGGAGCAUGUGGUUUAAUUCGAAGCUACGCGAAGAACCUUACCAGGUCUUGACAUACUAUGCAAAUCUAAGAGAUUAGACGUUCCCUUCGGGGACAUGGAUACAGGUGGUGCAUGGUUGUCGUCAGCUCGUGUCGUGAGAUGUUGGGUUAAGUCCCGCAACGAGCGCAACCCUUAUUAUCAGUUGCCAGCAUUAAGUUGGGCACUCUGGUGAGACUGCCGGUGACAAACCGGAGGAAGGUGGGGAUGACGUCAAAUCAUCAUGCCCCUUAUGACCUGGGCUACACACGUGCUACAAUGGAUGGUACAACGAGUUGCGAACUCGCGAGAGUAAGCUAAUCUCUUAAAGCCAUUCUCAGUUCGGAUUGUAGGCUGCAACUCGCCUACAUGAAGUCGGAAUCGCUAGUAAUCGCGGAUCAGCAUGCCGCGGUGAAUACGUUCCCGGGCCUUGUACACACCGCCCGUCACACCAUGAGAGUUUGUAACACCCAAAGUCGGUGGGGUAACCUUUUAGGA